UACAGGGGGUGCAAACGUUGCUCGGAAUCAUUGGGCGUAAAGCGCACGUAGGCGGUCUGUUAUGUCGGAUGUGAAAGCCCUCGGCUCAACUGAGGAAGUGCAUCCGAAACUGGCAGGCUAGAGUACUAAAGAGGGUCGCGGAAUUCCCGGUGUAGAGGUGAAAUUCGUAGAUAUCGGGGAGGAACACCGGUGGCGAAGGCGGCGACCUGGGUAGAUACUGACGCUGAGGUGCGAAAGCGUGGGGAGCAAACAGG
RNAcentral lists this ribosomal RNA (254 nucleotides) under uncultured bacterium. RNAcentral's name for it is "partial 16S ribosomal RNA". It matches the Rfam family "Bacterial small subunit ribosomal RNA", at positions 524 to 776 of the family's 1533-position model. The record is from RNAcentral.